AUUGAACGCUGGCGGCAGGCUUAACACAUGCAAGUCGAGCGGAGCGAGGGUGCUUGCACCUUAGCUUAGCGGCGGACGGGUGAGUAAUGCUUAGGAAUCUGCCUAUUAGUGGGGGGCAACAUUCCGAAAGGAAUGCUAAUACCGCAUACGCCCUACGGGGGAAAGCAGGGGAUCUUCGGACCUUGCGCUAAUAGAUGAGCCUAAGUCGGAUUAGCUAGUUGGUGGGGUAAAGGCCUACCAAGGCGACGAUCUGUAGCGGGUCUGAGAGGAUGAUCCGCCACACUGGGACUGGGACACGGCCCAGACUCCUACGGGAGGCAGCAGUGGGGAAUAUUGGACAAUGGGCGGAAGCCUGAUCCAGCCAUGCCGCGUGUGUGAAGAAGGCCUUUUGGUUGUAAAGCACUUUAAGCGAGGAGGAGGCUACUUAGAUUAAUACUCUGGGAUAGUGGACGUUACUCGCAGAAUAAGCACCGGCUAACUCUGUGCCAGCCGCCGCGGUAA
RNAcentral lists this ribosomal RNA (501 nucleotides) under uncultured bacterium. RNAcentral describes it as "partial 16S ribosomal RNA". It matches the Rfam family "Bacterial small subunit ribosomal RNA", at positions 30 to 523 of the family's 1533-position model. The record is from RNAcentral.